Molecule: long non-coding RNA, 294 nt
Organism: Clupea harengus (Atlantic herring)
Lineage: Eukaryota; Metazoa; Chordata; Actinopteri; Clupeiformes; Clupeidae
Source: RefSeq, a predicted model, not a curated record
CAGUUGCAUGGACCUCAGCUCUUGGAAGCUGUUUGAUCCUUGUUUCGCUCUCGUGAAGACUGGAGUUCAGUCUAUGGGCUUUGACAAAGAGCUCAUGGUUCCUGCUUUGAAGUGCACAGCCUUCCACCUCCUGUGGGAGAGAAGAAAGAUCUCAGACUCUGACUCGCCCACCACAGACAAGGCGGAGGUGAAGAGAAUGAGGAAGGAGGUUCACUCGUUCUGUAUUGUGUGCCAGAGUUGUCUCUCUCUUGGAAACGCUCAAAUCAGGGACCAGGUGAGUCCCCACAGUACUGA